Monodelphis domestica (gray short-tailed opossum) is the source of this 1578-nucleotide long non-coding RNA. The record is from Ensembl. Lineage: Eukaryota; Metazoa; Chordata; Mammalia; Didelphimorphia; Didelphidae.
UUCCCCUGACUCAUUCUCCAGGAAGGACCUUUUCUCAGCUGUCAUUGCUAGGGAGCUGCAUCCAGGGACAGGGAAAGGGCUGGAGGAGUGGCUAGACAGGGUUAGGAAUGGUUCAUGCCUGGAGAAUCCAGUUCAAACCCCAUCCGAGCCACGUCACCAGCUUUCACACCUUCCUUUCCCGGAACCUUCAUUUCCUCAUCCGUAAACAGGAGGGUGUGGGACUUGGAAUCCUUCCCAGGGACCAUGAGGGGAAGAACAAAGGAUCUGAACAAGCCCCAAGCCUUCCCUUUCUCUCUUCUCCAUUCCCAGGAGCUCCCACACACCCCCAUAUCUCCCCAGAGAAGGUGGACAUCCCAAUGGGUGUCACCUCCCAGGAUUACACAGUCCCCAACCUGGUUCGCCUGGUCCUGGCCGGCUUGGUGGUGGCUGCCCUGGGGGGACUCGUGGCUGAAGCGUGGCAAGCCUGGAGGGAGGAAUUCCACCCAUAUUCAGGGGCUCUCUUCCAAAGGGGGUCCCCAGGGAGCCCACCCGCAGCCAGGGGAUCAACACCCUAAUGACCCUGGGGCCAACCAGGUGCAGAGACUGGCCUUGGGGAUGGGAGGUGGGUGCAAGAUUCCUCAAGGAGUCCUAAGGGGCUGCCUGAAGGCAGGGGAGUGCUUAUUGGGCCCCCCCCAUGUCCAAGGUCCCGGCCAAGGUCUCAGCUUCAUAAAGUACUGAGAAAUGUCCUAAACUCUGGCGUCCAUCUGUCCCUCCAGCCAUCCUCAUCUGGGUCUGAGGCCCCUUCAAGGAUUAGGGGCUGAGGACAGUUUAUCAGCUCCAAAGGGUGGCUCAAGAGCCAGGUCUAGAGAUGGGAGGUCCUGGGUUCAAGUCUGACCUCAGACCUUUUCUAGCUGGGUAGCCCCCAUUGCUCAGCCUUACAGGCUUUAUCAAUCAACAAGCAAAUGCUGUGGGUUCCUCCUGGUGCCCAGUCGGAGGCAGAGGUGCUGCAGUAGAGCCAGCUUUGGGGUUCCCGACUAGGGAGGCUGCUGGGUCUCCAGCCUCCAUUAAGUGCUAUGUCUGGUGGGGAACAGCCCUUCCUUCCUAGGGCUGACCCCUGGGGCUGCUGCCUCAGGGAAGAGUGGCGGGCAGGCUCUGGAGAGUAACUUGUACGGGGGCCAGAGGCCGGGGCGCCGGCAUGGAGCUGGGAAAGGCCCCUGCGAUUCCUCCUUCGCAAAGGAGGAAACUGAGGCUGAGAAAAGGAGGUGCGCCCUGCUAAGGAGUGAGUGGCCCGGCUGGAGCUGAAUCCAAGGGCUCUCCCGGCUUUCCCCACGCUCCGCAGCCAGGGCAGGGGACGCUGGGGAGUUCCCGAGCUGAAGCCUGGGGCCUUCCAGGAAGAGGCUGGAGGUGGGCCAUGGAACCCCGGGCCCACGGGGGGCCGGGAAGAUGCCCACGGGCUAGAGAGAGCUCGGCUCCCAGUCCGGGAAGGCCUCCUCUUCCUCCCACUCCAUCCUGCCCAAGGCCGCCCCCAGCCCCAUCCGCCGAAUCUGGGCCCUAUUACCCGCCCAGCCCAGGCUCCAGGAAAUUCCAGGCCGGGAAGCG